GACGAACGCUGGCGGCGUGCUUAACACAUGCAAGUCGAACGCUGAAGACCUGGCUUUUGUUGGGUUGGAUGAGUGGCGAACGGGUGAGUAACACGUGAGUAACCUGCCCUCUUCUUUGGGAUAACGCCCGGAAACGGGUGCUAAUACUGGAUAUUCACUGAUCUUCGCAUGGGGGUUGGUGGAACGGUUUGUUCUGGUGGGGGAUGGGCUCGCGGCCUAUCAGCUUGUUGGUGGGGUGAUGGCCUACCAAGGCUUUGACGGGUAGCCGGCCUGAGAGGGUGACCGGUCACAUUGGGACUGAGAUACGGCCCAGACUCCUACGGGAGGCAGCAGUGGGGAAUAUUGCACAAUGGGCGAAAGCCUGAUGCAGCGACGCCGCGUGAGGGAUGGAGGCCUUCGGGUUGUAAACCUCUUUCGCUCAUGGUCAAGCCGCAACUGUGGGUUGUGGUGAGGGUAGUGGGUAAAGAAGCGCCGGCUAACUACGUG
RNAcentral lists this ribosomal RNA (486 nucleotides) under uncultured bacterium. RNAcentral describes it as "partial 16S ribosomal RNA". It matches the Rfam family "Bacterial small subunit ribosomal RNA", at positions 28 to 507 of the family's 1533-position model. The record is from RNAcentral.